Molecule: non-coding RNA, 74 nt
Organism: Culex pipiens (northern house mosquito)
Lineage: Eukaryota; Metazoa; Arthropoda; Insecta; Diptera; Culicidae
Source: Rfam
GGCUCCGUGGCUUAAUGGUUACGGCUUCUGCCUCACAAGCAGAAGGUUCAGGGAUCAAAUCCCGGUCGGUAUCU